GAUUUAAUAGAUCUCCGAGCAUUUUAACCUCUGUGGUAUCAACGUGGUUUCUGUGCCGAUAGGGUUUGAUUGGAAAUGAUCAGGCCUCCCGAUGGAAAGGAGAAUAUUGCAAUUAACA
RNAcentral lists this non-coding RNA (118 nucleotides) under Clostridiales bacterium. RNAcentral's name for it is "MoCo sequence". It matches the Rfam family "Molybdenum/Tungsten riboswitch aptamer (Moco RNA motif)". Lineage: Bacteria; Bacillati; Bacillota; Clostridia; Eubacteriales. The record is from RNAcentral.